GGAAGGAGAAGUCGUAACAAGGUUUUCCAAUGGUCCUUCUCGCCCCGUUGGGUUCGAGUCGCACGGAAGCCUGAGCGGGGCAUGCGAUGCAUGCAACGCUAGUGCCCGUUGAUGGUGCGAUGCUAUCAAAUUGCGGGAAAGUCCAGGGGAGCUCCCAUGGAAGCUUUUGCCACUUCUGCUACCAAGCACGGCGGCCGAGGAAUUGAGCCGAGUGUGGCCGAGUCAAUGAGCUCGGGUAAGGUGACAACGCGAAGUGGGUAGGACAACCCGCAGCCAAAUUGCCGACAUUCGGUGAUGCUGUUCACAGACUAGAUGAUAGCAGGUUGGUGUACCUAAGUUGCUCCAGCUCAAGAUAUAGUCGAUCCGUGCGGGAAACUGCACGGGAAUGUAUUUNCCUCUGCAUGAGUAUUCACCGUUCCGUAGGUGAACCUGCGGAAGGAUCA
This 443-nucleotide ribosomal RNA is filed under the name Penium cylindrus. RNAcentral's name for it is "partial 18S ribosomal RNA". The stretch from base 71 to 382 matches the Rfam family "Group I catalytic intron". From Rfam's summary of the family: Group I catalytic introns are large self-splicing ribozymes. The record is from RNAcentral. Lineage: Eukaryota; Viridiplantae; Streptophyta; Zygnematophyceae; Desmidiales; Peniaceae.